This is a long non-coding RNA of Xiphophorus hellerii (green swordtail), 190 nucleotides long. RefSeq lists it as uncharacterized. The record is from RefSeq and is a predicted model, not a curated record. NCBI's taxonomy places the organism in Eukaryota, Metazoa, Chordata, Actinopteri, Cyprinodontiformes, Poeciliidae. The transcript has 3 exons.
UGGUCCAAACAGACGGCGGCAUCUUGGUUUUUUUGGCUCACUUUCUGUGAGAAGUUUUAACUUUAGGGAUGAAGUGAGAGCUAAACCAGGAAUAGAUCAUUACAAGUACGACGGUUUCCGUGUAGCAAAUGAAAACAUACAUUGAGACCUUCUCUGCUCCUGCAGCAGGUUCCUCCAUACCUGAGAGCUU